RNAcentral lists this microRNA precursor (76 nucleotides) under Pteropus vampyrus (large flying fox). RNAcentral's name for it is "miRNA (ENSPVAG00000029388.1)". The record is from RNAcentral. Lineage: Eukaryota; Metazoa; Chordata; Mammalia; Chiroptera; Pteropodidae.
UGGGGUGGCCAAUUAUCACGGUUUGCCUGGGACUGAGGGGCUACUCAGCAUAUGGGACUUUAAAUGCUAAAACCAG